RNAcentral lists this small RNA (147 nucleotides) under Pongo abelii (Sumatran orangutan). Its description in RNAcentral is "Metazoan signal recognition particle RNA (ENSPPYG00000040729.1)". Lineage: Eukaryota; Metazoa; Chordata; Mammalia; Primates; Hominidae. The record is from Rfam by way of RNAcentral.
GCCGGGCGUGGUGGCGUAUGCCUGUAAUCCCAGCUACUUGGGAGGCUGAGGCAGGAGAAUCACAUGAACCCAGGAGGCGGAGGUUGCAGUGAGCCAAGAUUGGCCAUUGCACUCCAGCCUGGGCAACAGUGCGAGACUCCAUCUCGA